RNAcentral lists this ribosomal RNA (465 nucleotides) under uncultured bacterium. Its description in RNAcentral is "bacterial SSU rRNA". It matches the Rfam family "Bacterial small subunit ribosomal RNA", at positions 10 to 523 of the family's 1533-position model. The record is from RNAcentral.
AGUUUGAUCCUGGCUCAGAACGAACGCUGGCGGCAGGCUUAACACAUGCAAGUCGAACGCCCCGCAAGGGGAGUGGCAGACGGGUGAGUAACGCGUGGGAAUCUACCGUGCCCUGCGGAAUAGCUCCGGGAAACUGGAAUUAAUACCGCAUACGCCCUACGGGGGAAAGAUUUAUCGGGGUAUGAUGAGCCCGCGUUGGAUUAGCUAGUUGGUGGGGUAAAGGCCUACCAAGGCGACGAUCCAUAGCUGGUCUGAGAGGAUGAUCAGCCACAUUGGGACUGAGACACGGCCCAAACUCCUACGGGAGGCAGCAGUGGGGAAUAUUGGACAAUGGGCGCAAGCCUGAUCCAGCCAUGCCGCGUGAGUGAUGAAGGCCUUAGGGUUGUAAAGCUCUUUCACCGGAGAAGAUAAUGACGGUAUCCGGAGAAGAAGCCCCGGCUAACUUCGUGCCAGCAGCCGCGGUAA